Molecule: small RNA, 28 nt
Filed under: Bombyx mori (domestic silkworm)
Lineage: Eukaryota; Metazoa; Arthropoda; Insecta; Lepidoptera; Bombycidae
Description: ovarian small RNA-13800
Source: RNAcentral
CCGAGAUUGAAGGUUCCGCGCUCGAACU